RNAcentral lists this long non-coding RNA (1088 nucleotides) under Pan troglodytes (chimpanzee). Its description in RNAcentral is "lncRNA (ENSPTRG00000053528.1)". Lineage: Eukaryota; Metazoa; Chordata; Mammalia; Primates; Hominidae. The record is from RNAcentral.
AUGAUAUCUCUGACCACUUUUUGAUAUUUUUUCUGGUUCAGGUGAGUGGUGUCAUUGAGCAAACACAAAGUCGGGCUCAUCCAAGGAUGAGAUUUUGCCAGAGAAAGGACGAGCAGCAAGUCAGGGAGCUUAAGAGGGAGUCUCACUCUGUUGCCCAGGCUGGAGUGCUGUGGCACAGUCUUGGCUCACUGCAACCUCUGCCUCCCGGGUUCAAGGGAUUCUCCUGCCUCAGCCUCCCGAGUAGCUGGGAUUACAGGCGCCUGCCACCACGCCCGGCUAAUUUUUGUGAUUUUUUUUUUAGUGGAGACGAGGUUUCACUAUGUAGGCGAAGCUGGUGUCGAACUCCUGACCUCAGAUGAUCCACCCGCCUCAGCCUCCCAAAGUGCUAAGAUUACAGGCGUGAGCCACCGCGCCUGACCUGUUUAUUCUCUUAAGAGAGAAAAUGAGGGGAUUAGUGGACUGUAGUUCUGGACAAGGUGGAAAACUCUUAAAGUGGAAGUAUUGGGGUGAGUGCUCUGACAUGCUAGGAUGGUGCAGUCAGUCCCUUCACCCAGAAAUCAGUAGAAUGUUAGCAGUUCUGACUCAAACCUUGUGAAAAACAGGUGGUGGAAAGGAAAUCCCUCACAGCAACUGGCACCAUAAUCAAGACAAUGUUUGCAGAAUAAAUGGAGUUACCUGCUUUCAGCCCCGGGUCGUAGCUAUUGUCUGCCCUGCUGAUAUGUGAUAAUAAUUUGUGAUCCUGUUGUCUUAAAAUGGGGUCACUCAUCUCCAGUAGAAUUAAGUCCACAGUGAAGUUGUCCCCCCAUCCCCAAAGAGAUAAACAUAUAUGAAUGAACUCACGUGAUAACAACUACUGCUGCCUGGGAUCGUGAGAGACCUGAACUGAACUGAUAGGAAGUGAAAGGUGGCUGAGAUAAUGAGAAUAGACCCAUCUGCAGAGGAUCAUAAAACCAGCAAAGACAAGAUCUUGUCUAAGAUGCCUUCACAAACUUUGUCUGUGAGAACUCUUAAGGAUUUCACCAGACCUGUUGGCUGCUGCUGUGAUCUCUGCCCAAGAGGAGCCUCUGACCAACAUCCAAAGGGCUUCU